CAAUAAUCAACACCGCAAGCAUUUCACAUGCAUAUGCAUGAAGAUUAAAAUUGCAAUUUAUGAGGAUGACACUCUAUAAGAAAAAAACCAGCUAUUAAGGACAAAGUAGCACUCACUGAAAUCCCUUAAAUCAUGCACUAAUACGGCGAUAUACUAUGCAGAAAGAAAUUUAUCAACAGCCCUCAAACUAUCUUGCAAUUACAAUGGUGACCAAAAUAAUAUACAAGCAGAACUAUGAAAACUAAUUGACAAUACUAGCUCACAUAUAAUACAUAGCUAGUUGAAGUAACAUCUAAGCAUCAAACAUUGAAGAAGGUGAUAGAAAAGCAUGAAAUUACCAGGGUAAUAAACAAUGUGAUCAAGAUGAUAAUGAUGAUGAUGCGAGCAGCAUAAUUCUAAUGCAGAACAUUCAAAACUAGAGAUAAUUUCCCAAGCAACUAAAGCCAAAAAAAAUAGAAGAAAACAAUUGUUUACAAAUAAAAAUCAGCAAAAAUGAGAAUAUGAGAUUUGCUUUAAAG
RNAcentral lists this unclassified non-coding RNA (518 nucleotides) under Hevea brasiliensis (rubber tree). The record is from RNAcentral. Lineage: Eukaryota; Viridiplantae; Streptophyta; Magnoliopsida; Malpighiales; Euphorbiaceae.